GCCUUGCUGAUGAGUGCCAACUAGGACGAAACCUAGGUCUAAGGC
This 45-nucleotide non-coding RNA is filed under the name Trichobilharzia regenti. Lineage: Eukaryota; Metazoa; Platyhelminthes; Trematoda; Strigeidida; Schistosomatidae. The record is from RNAcentral.